Molecule: ribosomal RNA, 855 nt
Filed under: Flavobacteriales endosymbiont of Oceanaspidiotus multipori D381
Lineage: Bacteria; Pseudomonadati; Bacteroidota; Flavobacteriia; Flavobacteriales
Description: bacterial LSU rRNA
Rfam family: Bacterial large subunit ribosomal RNA
Source: RNAcentral
AGUGUCUUGCGCGGAGGUUGGAUGGGCUAAGCAUGUUACCUAUGCUUUGAUUCUUAGAAUCCGGUGGUUAGCUUUGUGAGCCACAUAUAAGCUUUUUUGGGAACUUGGUGGGGAUUUUACAAAAAAAAAUGUAGAUAUAAGUAACGAUUAUGAAGAUGAGAGAACUGCACACCGAUAGGCUAAGGUUUCCUCAGCUAUGUUAAUCAUCUGAGGGUUAGUCGGGGCCUAAGAUGAAGUCGACAGGCUAUAUCCCUGGUUAAGCAGCCAUAUGUGUGCUACUUGCUUUUAUUGUGAUGGGGUGACGAAGAUAUGAAACCAUCGCGUGUAGACGGAAUUGCUCGUUGAAGUAAUCGGGUCUAAUAUAUAUAGAAAAAACCGUAUAUGUUGCUCAGUUGCAAGAGUACCGGAUAGUAUGGCUAAAGGCUUCCAAGAAAAUCCCCUAAACCUCAGAUAAAAGCAACCCGUACCAAAACUGACACAAGUAGUCAAGGAGAGGAUCCUAAGGUGUUCGAGUGAAUCACGGCUAAGGAACUAGGCAAAAUCUACCUGUAACUUAGGGAGAAAGGUAGCCUUCUAAUUUAAGUUAGAGAGUUAGAAGGCCGCAGUGAAGAGAUCCAGACGACUGUUUAACAAAAACAUAGGGCUCUGCUAAAUCGAAAGAUGACGUAUAGGGUCUGACACCUGCCCGGUGCUGGAAGGUUAAGGAAGGAGGUAAACUUUUGUGAAGCCUACGACUGAAGCCCCAGUAAACGGCGGCUGUAACUAUAACAGUCCUAAGGUAGCGAAAUUCCUUGUCGGGCAAGUUCCGACCUGCACGAAUGGUGUAACGAUCUGGAUACUGUCUCGGCCGUGAGC